Long non-coding RNA from Frankliniella occidentalis (western flower thrips), 5003 nucleotides. RefSeq lists it as uncharacterized. The record is from RefSeq and is a predicted model, not a curated record. The transcript is spliced from 2 exons. NCBI's taxonomy places the organism in Eukaryota, Metazoa, Arthropoda, Insecta, Thysanoptera, Thripidae.
UAAUGACCCUUUCCCGCCAUUUCGCCUCCUCCUAGGCACCAUACUUGCCGGUCGUGAACAGAUUCCAGCGGUGCAGCGGCGGUCCCCAUCCCCAGUUAGCUGUUGCGCGCGUUUACGCCCUAACGGGCACGGCUCGUUGCGUGAGCUCGCGCCGUAGAUAAGAAGUACCCGCGGUUACGGGGCGCUCAUCAUCUCAUUUCCAUGUGAUCCCCGCGGUAGGAGGAGGCGCCCACUGUAUUAGCGGGUAGUGUUCCAAGGCCCCCCCUGAGAGUGUGAGUUACCUCACAUAGUACGUGUGAGUGCGUCGUUAAGCGUGGGAAGCUAUGGGGCGACUCUGGAAACGGGAAGGAUAUCCCGUUGGCGCGCAGGGCCGGGUCGGGCAGGGGAGCGAGCAGGACCUGCUGGGGCUGGGCCGUCGUCCGGGCGUCGUUCGGGUGGCUUGUGUGGCCCAGUGAAAGUCCGUGGCGCCGCCCGUACAGUUGAAUCAUUAUCCGCGAGCAAGUUAUUUCAUUGUCAUGAUUCCGAUUGCUGCUGCUGCUGCUGCUGUCCGUCUGCGUCGGUCCAGACUGUGGUGGUUACACUGGGCCGCGGGACCGAGCAGACAGCCUCAUCGGCGAGCUGUCGUCGUCGUCGGGGCGGACGCCGUUGAUCGAAGACCAACGGCGUGCAUCAUCGCAUCGCGCUGGUGCUGCGCGUGCUGUCGUUCUCCUACAAGUCCAAGGCGGACGCCUUCGGCGACUCCAACGGUCCGGGCGUGUUCCGCCGACUGUCGGACGACGGGGCCGCCGCCGCCGCCCCUACACCGAGGCCGUCUCGGCCGGGGCCGCGGGCCGCGCCCUCACCCGAGUUCCCGACGCCCUUCGCCAGCUCCACGCCCAAACAGCCCUGCGUGGUCGCGCGUGCGGCCAGCACGGCGCAGGACAGCGUCGCGGCCCGCAGGCUGGGCGCCGGCCUCGGCGCCGGCGUCUCCAGGAGCAAGUCCGCCGUCGCGCCGCCGGGGCGCCGCGCCGUGAGGCACCCCCCGCUCGCUAGCGCGCCCGCCGGCGAGAUGCGGAACCCGGAGUCGCGCGUCGGCGCCACCGUGGUGGUGCUGCAGUCUGGCGGCGACGCUCCGAACUUCGCGGCGUCGGCCGACCAUCCCGCGGCGCAAGCGGCGCAACCGAGGGCGGCGCCGGCCGAGGGUCGCCGCGGCGCAGAUGCACUGCACUCGUUCGCGGAGGAGGCGUCGGUGGUCGUCGUGGACGGGCUCCGUACCGAGGUGGUCGACGGCGUGGACGCGCUCAGCCUGAGCGACGCGCACGGCUCGGCCUGCUCCUCCGUGGCCGGCACGUCCGUGGCCGGCACCUCCUCGUCGCUCGGGGCCGGGGCCAGCGCCGCGGGGCUCACCCUGGGCCGUCACCGGGGCGGCGGCAGCAGCGGCGGCAGCGCGGGCGCCGGGGGCAGCGUCGCGGGCAGCGCGGCCGGCGGCUGGAGUCAGCCCCGCACCCCCAUGGGCUCCACGACGCAGCUCAUCCAGGGCAAGGCCCGCCCGCAGUCAGCGGUGAGUACCACCUCGACAACUAACUACUAAACUUGUAAAAAUGUAAUCUGCCGUUUUUUAGCAAAAAAAAAAAAAAAAAAAAUCGUUUCCACCACACUGCAAAACCAACAGUGUACUUUUUCAUGUAAAUUGUUGUUGGAAUCACACACCUCUAAGUGUGUGUGUUCUUACCAAUUGUGUGUAAGUCACCUUAUAGGUAAAGUAGCUACUUCUAUGUGUGUUCUGUGGCAAAAAAAAAAAACACUUAUAUGUGUGUACGUACUACUGCAAUUGCAAAGUGCACUGUUCCUUAUGUGUACUAAGUACACUGUUGGGAUUGCGAUGUAAGUUUUGAGGAUGAUUUUCUCUCAGCAAUGCACUUCUGUACCUUCUUGCCAAAACCGUGUGUAGUAGGUUUUGCACCGAAUUUAGCAAUCGUACACGUACAAUAUGAAAACAAGAUAGUGUUGUCUCUAUUUGAAGCGUUCAAUAUUCUCACUGUAGCUCUAAAAUACUUGUGUUCAGAACAUUUCUGUUUGUUCAACAAUCGACCCCUAAGAGAGACAUGCUAAACCGUAUGUUAAACCGAUACAUAGUCUGAAAAGUCUGUGCCAUUGAGUAAUAAGUCCUCACGCAAGACUCUAUGGCCUCCGAAGUCAUGAGUCGUGCAAAUCAAAUAUUCCGUGGGCAAGUCGCCAAUAAGGAAGCUGAGUCAUGCGUCGUCAACCCUUACUUUCUCGUCUCACCACAAGGAUGCGACAGUAAUGUUGUGCGCCCCAAGAGGUCUGUAAUUCACACCAUCCGCGUUCGGUCAGGGUAUGUUGUGGUGGCUGUACCGCAUGCGUACGGGUGCGGGCGGGUUGCCCAUAGAAUAGCCGGUGCAGCUGCCGCACCUGCCCCAGUGCCCUGGCCCCCGCGCUGCACCGCCUCGACUCCCUCCUCCCCGCCCCGCUCUCGGUGCCCGCCGCGCGAUCGAUUUUCCUCCCCCGUUCGGUUUCCAAUAUCUGAUCGGGCGUGCCGUGCCGCCGUACCACGCUGUCCGUGGCGUUACGCCCGUGCAGCAGCCCGCUAGCCCGCGCCGGGCCGGGCCACUCCGCCACUCGUACUCCAUUUGCGCGCUCUUGCGUUGAGCUCUCCGCUGCUCCUGCUCGGCGCCGCCGUCCGCUGCUUUGCUGCCGCCGUCUGGUGGCCGCUAUACUCCGCUCUGCUCGCGCGCUCAGUUGCUCGCCGCGCCGCCAUGUGAGCCGUGCGCAUGGACCGCCCCGCGCGCGCCGUGGUGCGUCCGGGCGGCCGCGGCCGGUGCCACUGGAGCCGGGACGGCGCCUACCACCGCGCGCGACACCCGGGCCAGCCCUGCGAGCCGCCAUCGGUAAGGCAAUGAACUGACUCUGCGUACGUCUCGUGCGAGUGUGCGGGUGUGAGACCCCAUGGCCGCGGCGAUGCCCCGCCGCGCCUCCCGCCGCGACGCUUCGCGUCCUCUGCCGACCAAUCGGGCGUCGGCCCGGACAAUGGGCGAUUAGUCGCGGCCGCGAGUUGCAUCGUUUUGACGUUUGUAGGCCGGCGGGGCGGUGCGAUGUUGCAGGGUGUGGAGGAGCUCAGCGGCGGUGCCGUGCCAAAUGAAUGGUGGUCGUCGGCGAUGUCCAACGCCGUGCUGCGUAUGGCGUGUGGGGCCCGUGGUGCUGCGCUCGCAUGAGUCGCGCGCGAGGCCGCGUCCCCCGCGUGCCCCUCUGAGCAGGGCGGCUAGGCCGGCGGGCGUGGCGCCAGGUGCGUCGUGUCCGUCGUGUCUCCGGACGCCCCGUCACCGCAGCGCGAUUACACCCGUGUCGUUAGAUCUGUAACCGACCGGGUAACGCGCCAACCCCGGGGUCGGGAAGCUCGCCACGCCCAGCCACGCCCCGCCACGCCGCACCGCGCUCGCACGUAUAGCGGCCGUGUCCCGGUCCGGGCGGGGUGCCUGUCGGAGUACCUGACGAGCAACGAGUGCUUGUUGCGGUGCCGGUCCGCUGGCCCCGCAUGGCGGAGGAGGCAGGCGGUGUGUUCCAGUUGGCGCCCGCCCCGCGCGGUAUACCCUCCUGCUGGGGGGCGCCUGGCCAGCAGCCCAAACAGGCGCGCGCGCGCCCGCGGCGCCGCCACGAGGACGAAAACGUUUCAUAAGGGACGAGUCCUUUGGCCUUCGGCGCCCCCCGAGCAGCCCGUUGCGAUGGUCCGCCGCCGGCCGAGGCCCCCGGGGAGGCGUUUCGUACGAGCGGUGGCGGCGGCGCCCGCCUCGUUUUGUUUUCUCCUUGUACUGCUGCGAGGCGCGCGGGGUCAGCCAGGCGCGGUGCCGUUCUCCAAAACAUUUGCAAUCGGCAUGGACAGCAGUUUGCAAAAGGUGCUCAUCGCCACUCAUCGCAGUGGAGGCGAUGUGGUGGCUCACCCCGCUGGACGCAGUUGUAUCCAAUGCGAACAGCCAAGUGGUGCGUUAGGGGAAAGAGGGGCCGGGGAGGGGAGGGAGACGGGGUAGUUGGUCUGUUGCAUGGCUGCGCUCUGCCCGGCCAGCCACGCCCCGCCCAGGCAGGGCAGGCCGGACACGCUGCAGGCCGACGACGGCAAGUGCGGUGCAGAUCGCCGCGAUUGGCGACGUGACCUCCACGGCGCGGGGGCAGCGGGGGCGCUCCGGCCGGCCCAUUAGAGGGGCACCGCGAGCACGACCCCGCGCGCCCGGCACCGCCCACACGCGCGCGAGAUAAGCGAAUGGGCGCGCGCGGGAAAUUCAAUUCAAAUAACGAUUUUGCGCGCUGCGAUAUUGUUUUACGAUCCGAUUUUACGUAAGAGAAGGCAAAAAUUAUGCAGUAAGUUUUUUGCCGCUGUGUUUGAGCUAGGCUGUUUUGGGAGGGUCCGGCGUGUGUAGCCUGAGAGCAAAGGGGGACUAGAGGAGGGGCUGCGAUCGUGGUGGUGGCGUCUGAUCCUAAUUGGCACAGCCCAGCGGCAGGACGGGUGUACUGUAACUGUUCCCGGCAAAAACUGUUCGACAGCGUCUGACUUCCGGUGGAUUAGUUUGUGAGCCGGCCACUAGAGGUUUGUCGAACAAUUCCAGCAAAACUCGAAAACACUUCCACCAAUCACAGAGGACGUUCCCCUCUCCCCCUCACAGGUCCCUCAGCGAAUGGAGUAUACACACGACACAAAGGGAAUGCAGAGGGGAAAGGGGGGAAAGACGAGGGGAAUCCCCAGACAUGACAACAUUUUCACGUAAAAGUUCUCAUAUCCAUUACGGAAUUAGAAACGGAAUUGCGUUCGUGAAGAAGACAAAAGGAUAUUGCCUUACAAUUAUGAAGAACCAGUGUUUUCAAUAGUGAAUUUUAUUUAAUACAAUUCUUUUAACAAAAUCUGCCAAAAUAUUGCAGGUAACUAAAUCAACAUUUUGUGGUAGCUACAUUAAAGAGAAAUAAAAUGGUACACCAAGGUGACAGCAGGUGUGAACAAUAAAUUAAAGAACACAGUA